Molecule: ribosomal RNA, 440 nt
Filed under: uncultured bacterium
Lineage: Bacteria
Description: partial 16S ribosomal RNA
Rfam family: Bacterial small subunit ribosomal RNA
Source: RNAcentral
CCUACGGGGGGCAGCAGUGGGGAAUAUUGCACAAUGGGGGAAACCCUGAUGCAGCGACGCCGCGUGAGUGAGGAAGUAUUUCGGUAUGUAAAGCUCUAUCAGCAGGGAAGAAAAUGACGGUACCUGACUAAGAAGCCCCGGCUAACUACGUGCCAGCAGCCGCGGUAAUACGUAGGGGGCGAGCGUUAUCCGGAUUUACUGGGUGUAAAGGGAGUGGAGACGGUAUAUCAAGUCAGAAGUGAAAACCCAGGGCUCAACCGUGGGACUGCUUUUGAAACUGGGUAGCUAGAGUGCAGGAGAGGGAAGCGGAAUUCCUGGUGUAGCGGUGAAAUGCGUAGAUAUUAGGAGGAACACCAGUGGCGAAGGCGGCUUACUGGACAGAGACUGACGUUGAGGCGCGAAAGCGUGGGGAGCAAACAGGAUUAGAUACCCGUGUAGUC